GAUGAACGCUGGCGGCGUGCCUAAUACAUGCAAGUCGAGCGAACAGACGAGGAGCUUGCUCCUCUGACGUUAGCGGCGGACGGGUGAGUAACACGUGGAUAACCUACCUAUAAGACUGGGAUAACUUCGGGAAACCGGAGCUAAUACCGGAUAAUAUAUUGAACCGCAUGGUUCAAUAGUGAAAGACGGUCUUGCUGUCACUUAUAGAUGGAUCCGCGCUGCAUUAGCUAGUUGGUAAGGUAACGGCUUACCAAGGCAACGAUGCGUAGCCGACCUGAGAGGGUGAUCGGCCACACUGGAACUGAGACACGGUCCAGACUCCUACGGGAGGCAGCAGUAGGGAAUCUUCCGCAAUGGGCGAAAGCCUGACGGAGCAACGCCGCGUGAGUGAUGAAAGUCUUCGGAUCGUAAAACUCUGUUAUUAGGGAAGAACAAAUGUGUAAGUAACUAUGCACGUCUUGACGGUACCUAAUCAGAAAGCCACGGCUAACUACGUG
RNAcentral lists this ribosomal RNA (497 nucleotides) under uncultured bacterium. RNAcentral describes it as "partial 16S ribosomal RNA". It matches the Rfam family "Bacterial small subunit ribosomal RNA", at positions 28 to 507 of the family's 1533-position model. The record is from RNAcentral.